Non-coding RNA from Procambarus clarkii (red swamp crayfish), 213 nucleotides. The record is from RefSeq and is a predicted model, not a curated record. NCBI's taxonomy places the organism in Eukaryota, Metazoa, Arthropoda, Malacostraca, Decapoda, Cambaridae.
CAGAGGUGCAGCCCCCAGUCCACGACCGUCGCUACACAGACACAGACCCAGAGAAUAACAUUUACCACCAUUCAAACUGCAUUCCAUGCAGUACUUUGAAUCGUGGAAUGACUCAAGAAAACCCCUUUGGUGACGUCGAGAGCUUAGGAGGUGUGAACCUGAGACAAAGAUGAUGUUGUGACAGAGAAGGAAGGGUGACUGCGACUGUCACGA